AUGCCUGCGACGAUGACAUCCCGCGCUCUGCUGCUCGUUGGCGUCGUCCUGACGGCGCACAAGUUCUUGUGCACGGCGUACGUCGGCGGCGAUGGGUUCAGCGUGGAGUUCAUCCACCGUGACUCCGUCAAGUCGCCGUACCGUGACCCGUCGCUCACCGCGCCCGCCCGCGUGCUCGAGGCCGCGCGCCGGUCCACAUCGCGCGCCGCUGCGCUCUCGCGCGCCUACGCCCGCGCCGACGCAUCAUCAGCCGACGGCGCUGUGUCUGAGCUCACCUCCAGGCCAUUCGAGUACAUGAUGGCCGUGAACGUGGGCACGCCGCCCACCCGCAUGCUCGCCAUCGCCGACACCGGCAGCGACCUCAUCUGGCUCAACUGCAGCAACGGAGCCGGCGCUCCUGCCCCCGCGCCGCCGCCGGGCGUCCAGUUCAACUCCGCCAAUUCGACGACGUUCGGUCUCGUGAGCUGCGGCUCCGGCGCAUGCCGCGCGCUCCCCGAAGCCUCCUGCGCCGACUCCAAGUGCAGGUAUCUCUACUCCUACGGCGACGGCUCCCAGUCCACGAGCGGCCUCCUCUCCACAGAGACCUUCACCUUCGCCGACGACCAAGGCACCCGCGGCGAUCGGGCGAUGCGCGUGGCCAACGUCAGCUUCGGCUGCUCCACGACCAUGAUCGGCUCGUUCAUCGGGGACGGCCUCGUCGGACUCGGCGGCGGCGACCUCUCCCUCGUCAAUCAGUUAGGCGCAGACACAUCGCUCGGCCGGAGGUUCUCCUACUGCCUCGUGCCCUACUCCAUCAACGCCUCCUCCGUGCUCAACUUCGGUCCCCGCGCCGCCGUGACGGAGCCCGGCGCGGCGACGACGCCGCUGAUCCCAUCCGAAGUGAAGACCUACUACACCGUCGACCUCCGGUCCGUCAAGAUCGGGAACAAGACCUUCGCGGCGCCGCAGGAGUACCCCGUCAUCGUGGACUCCGGCUCGACGCUGACGUACCUCGCGAACGAGCUUGUGGACCCAUUGGUGAAAGAGCUAACCCAGAGGGUCAAGCUCCCGCCGGCGAAGUCGCCGGAAGAGCUCCUGCCACUGUGCUUCGACGUGAGCGGGGUAGGAGAGGGGCAGGUUGCCGCGAUGAUCCCUGACGUGGCGCUGGAACUGGGCUCCGGCGGCGGUGCGACGGUCACGCUCAAGUCGGAGAACACGUUCGUCGUUGUGCACGAGGGGACCCUGUGCUUGGCGGUGGUGGCCCUGCAGUUUCCUCCUGUGUCCAUCAUCGGGAAUAUUGCGCAGCAGAACAUGCACGUUGGGUACGACCUCGACAAGGGCACCGUGACCUUCGCCCCAGCAGACUGCGCCAGGUCCUCCGGCUCUCUGUAUAUCUGA
Molecule: ribosomal RNA, 1377 nt
Filed under: Triticum aestivum (bread wheat)
Lineage: Eukaryota; Viridiplantae; Streptophyta; Magnoliopsida; Poales; Poaceae
Description: partial small subunit ribosomal RNA
Source: RNAcentral